This is a long non-coding RNA of Eublepharis macularius, 359 nucleotides long. RefSeq lists it as uncharacterized. Lineage: Eukaryota; Metazoa; Chordata; Lepidosauria; Squamata; Eublepharidae. The transcript is spliced from 3 exons. The record is from RefSeq and is a predicted model, not a curated record.
GCCUGUAUAAAAACACCAUCAGGACAAGAUUUUGCAUCCAGUUUCUUAACUCAUCUCUUGAUCAAGGACUUCAGAGAGUUUGAUCAGCAACCAACUCAAGAUGUCUCUAACCCCAUUAGAAUCAGCAUUGCAAACUAUUGCCAACAUUUUCAACCAAUACAAGGAGGAUGGAAGGAAUCCUCCCACAGUCACCAAGGAAAGAAUGCAGAAGCUGAUGAAGGAUCAGCUCCCAAAUUUGAUACAGGAAAACAUCCCAGGGACUUCUGAGGAGAGACGCACAUCGGGAGAUUGGGAUAGGUUCCUGAAUUCUGUCAUUCAAGUGCUUGUUUCUAGAUACAGAUGAUUCUACAUCAAGCUGC